This 576-nucleotide ribosomal RNA is filed under the name uncultured Bacillota bacterium. Its description in RNAcentral is "bacterial SSU rRNA". It matches the Rfam family "Bacterial small subunit ribosomal RNA", at positions 168 to 748 of the family's 1533-position model. The record is from RNAcentral. Lineage: Bacteria; Bacillati; Bacillota.
ACCGGAUAGGACGAAAGUUUAAAGGUGCUUCGGCACCACUGAUGGAUGAGCCUGCGGCGCAUUAGCUAGUUGGUAGGGUUAAGGCCUACCAAGGCGACGAUGCGUAGCCGACCUGAGAGGGUGAACGGCCACACUGGGACUGAGACACGGCCCAGACUCCUACGGGAGGCAGCAGUAGGGAAUCUUCGGCAAUGGGCGAAAGCCUGACCGAGCAACGCCGCGUGAAUGAUGAAGGCCUUCGGGUUGUAAAAUUCUGUUAUAAGGGAAGAAUGGCUCUAGUAGGAAAUGGCUAGAGUGUGACGGUACCUUAUGAGAAAGCCACGGCUAACUACGUGCCAGCAGCCGCGGUAAUACGUAGGUGGCGAGCGUUAUCCGGAAUUAUUGGGCGUAAAGAGCGCGCAGGUGGUUGAUUAAGUCUGAUGUGAAAGCCCACGGCUUAACCGUGGAGGGUCAUUGGAAACUGGUCAACUUGAGUGCAGAAGAGGGAAGUGGAAUUCCAUGUGUAGCGGUGAAAUGCGUAGAGAUAUGGAGGAACACCAGUGGCGAAGGCGGCUUCCUGGUCUGUAACUGACACUG